CAAAAGGCAUAAGCAUUCUAGUUAGUGAGAUUGUAAGUCUCCCCUCUUCCAUGGUAUUGUGUGGAAACUUGGCCUUCUUUCCUUCCUUUGGAAGAUAUUUUGGUUCAAGGAUCCAUGCUUGUGGCAAGUGGGUUGAGUGUUCUCCAAAGAAUGUCUUGAAAUCAAAAAAGCAAAACAAAACUAACUACUAACUUACUAACCAUUAACUUUUACUUUCAAGCUUUUACUU
This 229-nucleotide long non-coding RNA is filed under the name Lathyrus oleraceus (garden pea). RNAcentral describes it as "Pisum sativum (pea) long non-coding RNA (PSAT_LNC026854)". The record is from RNAcentral. Lineage: Eukaryota; Viridiplantae; Streptophyta; Magnoliopsida; Fabales; Fabaceae.